Long non-coding RNA from Coffea eugenioides, 323 nucleotides. RefSeq lists it as uncharacterized. The transcript is spliced from 3 exons. The record is from RefSeq and is a predicted model, not a curated record. NCBI's taxonomy places the organism in Eukaryota, Viridiplantae, Streptophyta, Magnoliopsida, Gentianales, Rubiaceae.
UUGCUGGUGCCAUUGACUCUUGUGCUGACCAUCUUUGUGUUUUGGCAUGUUUAUCUUAUUCUGCAAAACAAGACCACAAUAGAGUACCAUGAAGGUGUGAGAGCUAUGUGGCUUGCUGAAAAAGGAGGUUAUCUGUAUUCACAUCCAUAUGAUCUUGGUGCUUAUGAGAAUAUGAUAUCAGUUUUAGGACCACAUAUCUUUUGCUCGGUAUGUCCCACCUCAGAGCAGAUUGGUUCUGGCCUUCGUUUCCGCGCGGGAGUUGAUAAGUUAGCAGGGAUAUCAUUUUAGACGUAUGUAGAGCUUGGAGUUUCAAUAAUUUUGUA